GUUUGCCUUUCCUCACUCAGUUGCAGCCAACUCUGCUGUGUGUUGCAGGAAGUUUUAAGAUCACUGAAUAUGGACUUUCUCUAUUAGUACUGCUGAGCCUGUACUAAUUACUUAUUUCUCUGUAGGGCAUGUUGACUUAAUUUCUAUGCUGUUUCCAUGCAGUCUUGCCAUUUUUGUCUGCAGACAGAGUAUGUUUUGUGUACCAGCAGAGACAGAACUGCAGUAAGGUGCUUUGAUAGCUACAGGCAGUUUGGCUGCUGGGCCCAAACUCUUCUCCUUGCUAUGCCACUCUGAGUAGCUAAGUUCUUCCAGGUGGUAAUGAUCAUUUCAGCAGUUAUACUGAACCUAUAGCACCUGUGCAGCUUCUCUGGGCAAAGCAGAAGUAGCUUCAGUUGCUGAGAACUGGAUGUAUUUGACUUUCCUUCUCCUGAAGAAUAUGUAGGUUAACAACCCUGUGUUCCAGGCUCAUGGUCCUACAUGCGCAGAGUUGUGACUACCACCAAAACUCCAGAGUGAAUGAAAAGGCUCCUGUCAGUGAGUUCCUUCUCAGCCAUCACUAGGUGAACACUACACACAGGACCUUUCCUGUCCUAGUCUGAAGAGUCCAGUGCCUUCACUGGAUCCAGCCUUAGGUGACCAUCUGCAUUUUCAGUUAUACAAGUGCAGCUCAGCUCAGAGAAAUGUGCUUUGAUCUCAGAGUAAAAUGAGUUUUACAACAAUCUUUCUUGAGUUGUGGACACACUAUUCCAGAACUGAUUACAUCUGUGCCAAGGACAGAGAGACUACCAAGCUGAUCACAGUGACGGAAGCUUAUAAAGACUACGUUAUUCUGUGAUGCUGCUAGAGAGCCGAGAAAAUUAGAAGUGGUGAGGUAUGUACACUGCGAGCUGUAUUUUCCUCAUUAAUGUGCAAAAGAGGUGAUGAAGAUUAGGGACUUAUCACGCUGCUACCAUCCCCCCAAUGGAAGCAGAAUUAUGAGAUAUGCCCCCUGCUGCUGGUCCUGGAAAGGCCUGGGAACAUCAGAAAGAGAUGAUAAAUAGUUCAGAAAUAUCAAGUUUUGAACAGUGCACGGAGGCAGCGACUUCUGCUUUGGACGCCGCUCUCUUUUUAAAGACCGCGUUGUUACAGCUAAAUCUAGAGACAAUUCUUAAAAAGCAUUAGAUGGCAGAAAAGGGGGGAAAGUCUUACCGUCGAAAGACUGCUGCAGGUUCCAGCUCAGCCUGAAACUGCAGGGAAAAGUGGAGCAGCUGCUGAACAAAAGUUUUAGAUUUUUUUUUUUUUCAGAAAGUCUGCAAAACUAAUUUCCCACAAAAUAGGACUCAAUUUCCGUUUAAGAAAGCAGCUCUUGCAAAUCUCAUACAAUUCCUGAUUUUUUCCAAUGGCGAUUCAAAUUCAUUUUUAUCUUUCGCACAUGGACCCAAGAGUUUAGACUGAAAUGGCAGAGCGCAGUGCUUUUUUUUUUUUUUUUUUUCUUUUCACUUUAAGUUUGGUUUGCGGGGAGGAGGAGGAAGGCAGAGCGAAGAGAAGGGGCGAAGGAACUCAGCGUUUCGGCAGUGGGCAUCUCUAGGCAACGAUCAAUAAACGCUUUAUCCUAAUCUAAACCCGUGUACAGCCUUCCUCGGGGCUACCGCUAAUCCCACGCCACGCGCAGCCCAGGCUGUCCCUCUCCAGGUUCUCCCACGCUAAAGACUGAGACGCAGCAAAUGAAGAAGCAGAGAAGUUGGGCAAACUGCGCUUUUGGAGGGGCAGGGGGCAAAAGAGGCGACUUGUCCGUGUUCGAACACACGUGGCGGCUCGCUGAGCGCCGGGACUUUCGUGGCAGACCCACAGGCACCGGGGGUCUCCUGUCCUUAAGGCCGAGGUGUGCGCGGGGGUGACUACGGGGCUGCUCUGGGCGGGACAGCCUCGCACAGCCGUGCCGGGCCGUGCCCAGGUGCGCUGGGAGCUCAGGUGGGGCUGCAGCCCCGCGCCCUCCGGGCGUAUUUGAUUUCACCCAUCUCCUGCACCUCGG
Molecule: long non-coding RNA, 2011 nt
Organism: Gallus gallus (chicken)
Lineage: Eukaryota; Metazoa; Chordata; Aves; Galliformes; Phasianidae
Source: Ensembl